UGAAUUCGACUUCUCUGUUCACUGGAAGUCCAGGUAGUUCAUCCGAGAACACAUCUGAAAAGUCUCGGACUACUAAAAUUUCUCGAAUACAAAUUUCUUUCUUGGGUUUGCUUAGUUAGAGAAAACAGCUAGGUUAAAGAACUUGAUAAUAAGAAAAUUUACCAUGAUGGAAUAAAUGUUAAAGAAUUUUAUUAAUUUGUAAAUGACUCCUCAUUAGCAGAGUUGAAUACAAUCUUCUUAUGAAAAUAAUCUACGGUGGUGUGAUACACCGCU
Molecule: long non-coding RNA, 273 nt
Filed under: Carica papaya (papaya)
Lineage: Eukaryota; Viridiplantae; Streptophyta; Magnoliopsida; Brassicales; Caricaceae
Description: long non-coding RNA (CPAP_LNC007748)
Source: RNAcentral